GUGGGGAAUCUUCCGCAAUGGACGAAAGUCUGACGGAGCAACGCCGCGUGAGUGAAGAAGGUUUUCGGAUCGUAAAGCUCUUUCGUUAGGGACGAACGUGCUCUUUGUGAAUAAUGAGGAGUAAUGACGGUAUCUAAAUAAGAAGCCACGGCUAACUACGUGCCAGCAGCCGCGGUAAUACGUAGGUGGCAAGCGUUGUCCGGAAUUAUUGGGCGUAAAGCGCGCGCAGGCGGGAUAUCAAGUCUGUCUUAAAAGUGCGAGGCUCAACCUCGUGAGGGGACAGAAACUGGUAUUCUUGAGUGUCGGAGAGGAAAGUGGAAUUCCAAGUGUAGCGGUGAAAUGCGUAGAGAUUUGGAAGAACACCAGUGGCGAAGGCGACUUUCUGGACUGUAACUGACGCUGAGGCUCGAAAGCCAGGGGAGCGAACGGGAUUAGAAACCCUAGUAGUCC
This 450-nucleotide ribosomal RNA is filed under the name uncultured bacterium. RNAcentral's name for it is "partial 16S ribosomal RNA". It matches the Rfam family "Bacterial small subunit ribosomal RNA", at positions 354 to 796 of the family's 1533-position model. The record is from RNAcentral.